Molecule: ribosomal RNA, 253 nt
Filed under: uncultured bacterium
Lineage: Bacteria
Description: partial 16S ribosomal RNA
Rfam family: Bacterial small subunit ribosomal RNA
Source: RNAcentral
UACGUAGGUGACAAGCGUUGUCCGGAUUUACUGGGCGUAAAGCGUCCGCAGGUGGCUGUGUAAGUCUGCUGUCAAAGAGCGAAGCUCAACUUCGUAAAGGCAGUGGAAACUACACGGCUAGAGUGCGUUCGGGGCAGGUGGAAUUCCCGGUGUAGCGGUGGAAUGCGUAGAGAUCGGGAAGAACAUCAGUGGCGAAGGCGGCCUGCUGGGCUGUUGCUGACGCUGAGGCGCGACAGCGUGGGGAGCAAACAGG